RNAcentral lists this ribosomal RNA (301 nucleotides) under uncultured bacterium. Its description in RNAcentral is "partial 16S ribosomal RNA". It matches the Rfam family "Bacterial small subunit ribosomal RNA", at positions 509 to 808 of the family's 1533-position model. The record is from RNAcentral.
CAGUCGCCACGGUAAUACGUAGGUCCCGAGCGUUGUCCGGAUUUAUUGGGCGUAAAGCGAGCGCAGGCGGUUAGAUAAGUCUGAAGUUAAAGGCUGUGGCUUAACCAUAGUACGCUUUGGAAACUGUUUAACUUGAGUGCAAGAGGGGAGAGUGGAAUUCCAUGUGUAGCGGUGAAAUGCGUAGAUAUAUGGAGGAACACCGGUGGCGAAAGCGGCUCUCUGGCUUGUAACUGACGCUGAGGCUCGAAAGCGUGGGGAGCAAACAGGAUUAGAUACCCGUGUAGUCCCUGUCUCUUAUACA